GAGGGCAUAGCUCAGUGGCAGAGUGCCUGCUUGGCACGCACGAGGUCCUGGGUUCAAUCCCCAGUACCUCCU
This 72-nucleotide transfer RNA is filed under the name Camelus bactrianus (Bactrian camel). It matches the Rfam family "tRNA". Rfam says of the family: Transfer RNA (tRNA) molecules are approximately 80 nucleotides in length. Their secondary structure includes four short double-helical elements and three loops (D, anti-codon, and T loops). Further hydrogen bonds mediate the characteristic L-shaped molecular structure. tRNAs have two regions of fundamental functional importance: the anti-codon, which is responsible for specific mRNA codon recognition, and the 3' end, to which the tRNAs corresponding amino acid is attached (by aminoacyl-tRNA synthetases). tRNAs cope with the degeneracy of the genetic code in two manners: having more than one tRNA (with a specific anti-codon) for a particular amino acid; and 'wobble' base-pairing, i.e. permitting non-standard base-pairing at the 3rd anti-codon position. RNAcentral also lists the same sequence under 1 other name. The record is from Rfam by way of RNAcentral. Lineage: Eukaryota; Metazoa; Chordata; Mammalia; Artiodactyla; Camelidae.